This 77-nucleotide transfer RNA is filed under the name Clostridiaceae bacterium. Its description in RNAcentral is "tRNA-His". It matches the Rfam family "tRNA". Rfam says of the family: Transfer RNA (tRNA) molecules are approximately 80 nucleotides in length. The record is from RNAcentral. Lineage: Bacteria; Bacillati; Bacillota; Clostridia; Eubacteriales; Clostridiaceae.
GUGGGUGUAGCUCAGUUGGUUAGAGCGCCAGAUUGUGGCUCUGGAGGUCGUGGGUUCGACUCCCAUCAUUCACCCCA